GAUGAACGCUGGCGGCGUGCCUAAUACAUGCAAGUCGAGCGAACGGACGAGAAGCUUGCUUCUCUGAUGUUAGCGGCGGACGGGUGAGUAACACGUGGGUAACCUACCUAUAAGACUGGGAUAACUUCGGGAAACCGUAGCUAAUACCGGAUAAUAUUUUGAACCGCAUGGUUCAAAAGUGAAAGACGGUCUUGCUGUCACUUAUAGGUGGAUCCGCGCUGCAUUAGCUAGUUGGUAAGGUAACGGCUUACCAAGGCAACGAUGCAUAGCCGACCUGAGAGGGUGAUCGGCCACACUGGAACUGAGACACGGUCCAGACUCCUACGGGAGGCAGCAGUAGGGAAUCUUCCGCAAUGGGCGAAAGCCUGACGGAGCAACGCCGCGUGAGUGAUGAAGGUCUUCGGAUCGUAAAACUCUGUUAUUAGGGAAGAACAUAUGUGUAAGUAACUGUGCACAUCUUGACGGUACCUAAUCAGAAAGCCACGGCUAACUACGUG
This 497-nucleotide ribosomal RNA is filed under the name uncultured bacterium. RNAcentral's name for it is "partial 16S ribosomal RNA". It matches the Rfam family "Bacterial small subunit ribosomal RNA", at positions 28 to 507 of the family's 1533-position model. The record is from RNAcentral.